Molecule: non-coding RNA, 263 nt
Organism: Cinara cedri
Lineage: Eukaryota; Metazoa; Arthropoda; Insecta; Hemiptera; Aphididae
Source: the annotation of a GenBank genome assembly
AAUUGGUAUGACCUUUCUGAAUGGUUUUUAAUGAACACAUUAUGUUACUGUUGGUAGUUGAAUUGUGUAGAUUUUUAGUUGAUUUAUUAUCAAUUAGUGUAUUUAAUUUUUUAAAAUAGAGUACUUCUAUUGGGUUACAAAAUUACUAAAGUUGGAAUAUAAAAAUUACCCAUCACCAUUUGAUUGUUACCAAGAUUAGUAUUAACUGUACUGACAUCCCUAUUGGAACAUCAUUGUUUUUGAUUAUUUUUGUAAUUCGGUUA